UAACACGUAGGGGGCAAGCGUUGUCCGGAUUUAUUGGGCGUAAAGAGCUCGUAGGUGGCUGAGUAAGUCGGAUGUUAAAUCCCCAGGCUCAACCUGGGACACCACCCGAUACUGCUCUGGCUAGAGUCCGGUAGGGGAGCGUGGAAUUCCUGGUGUAGCGGUGAAAUGCGCAGAUAUCAGGAGGAACACCAGCGGCGAAGGCGGCGCUCUGGGCCGGUACUGACACUGAGGAGCGAAAGCGUGGGUAGCAAACAGGAUUAGAUACCCUGGUAGUCCACGCCGUAAACGUUGGGCACUAGGUGUGGGGUCUAUUCAACGGACUCCGUGCCGUAGCUAACGCAUUAAGUGCCCCGCCUGGGGAGUACGGCCGCAAGGCUA
Molecule: ribosomal RNA, 378 nt
Filed under: uncultured bacterium
Lineage: Bacteria
Description: bacterial SSU rRNA
Rfam family: Bacterial small subunit ribosomal RNA
Source: RNAcentral